CCUGGAAGGCUGGACGGGGGAGCUCGGCCACCGCAGCCAAAGCCCCAGGAGCGAAAGCCAAAACCGAAAGCAGAGGCGUGCCAGAUCCGCCCAACUUGCCUCCCGCUCCCUCCCUUCAGAGUUCAGAUCAGAGCUCUCCGUCGAUUCCGACGCAGCCGCCGCCGACUCAUCCUCCUCCACCUCACCGGAAGGCCGCCUGGCCACGCGCCCGAGCCGAAUCCCUCGCCCUGCCUCCCGUGAUUCAGACGUGUUUCCUGGCUGCGUGGAAAUGGAAGGCGUUGUUGUAAGGAGAGUGAUCCCUUCGGACAACAGUUGCCUCUUCAAUGCGGUCGGUUAUGUGAUGGAGCAUAACAAAAAUAAGGCUUCUGAGCUCAGACAGGUCAUAGCAGCAGCGGUUGCAAGUGAUCCUGAAAAGUACAACGAAGCAUUUCUUGGAAAACCAAAUGAAGCGUAUUGUGCUUGGAUUAUGGACCCUGAGAAGUGGGGAGGUGCCAUAGAACUUUCAAUUCUGUCAGAAUAUUAUGGGCGUGAAAUUGCUGCAUAUGACAUCCAGACAACACGAUGUGAUCUGUAUGGUCAGGGGAAGAACUACAAUGAGAGGGCAAUGCUCAUUUAUGAUGGGUUGCAUUACGAUGCUUUAGCAAUGUCUCCAGCUGAAGGGGCACCAGAAGAAUUUGAUCAGACCAUCUACGUUGUUGACCAGAACCGUUCCAUUGGUCCAGUAGAAGGCCUUGCUCUUAACUUAGCGAAGGAGGCACAUAGGAAGAGGAGCUACACAGACACCGCAAACUUUACAUUGCGCUGCGGCGUGUGCCAAAUUGGUGUCAUUGGUCAAAAGGAAGCUGUGGAACACGCGCAAGCCACCGGCCAUGUCAAUUUCCAAGAAUACAAAUGACCAUAGAAGAUAUACUAGUUCUUCUUCUUCCGCUGUUGUUGUACACUCAUUUGUUGCAAUUGUUUUCUUCCUGAUAUGGUACUAUUGCAAAAUAUUAAUUUGUUACAGAGCAAAUUUAAUAAGCUCCAGUUUGGAUAUUGAUUUUGAUGUUCAUAUUGACUACUAACUUGAAGCAUUGAAGAUCCAGUGAUCAAUGUAUCUAGUAAUAUGUUGUGAUCUUGUUCUUUUUUCUUUUUUGUCCUUCAAGUGGCUCCAC
This 1151-nucleotide ribosomal RNA is filed under the name Triticum aestivum (bread wheat). RNAcentral describes it as "partial small subunit ribosomal RNA". Lineage: Eukaryota; Viridiplantae; Streptophyta; Magnoliopsida; Poales; Poaceae. The record is from RNAcentral.